This 2869-nucleotide long non-coding RNA is filed under the name Medicago truncatula (barrel medic). RNAcentral describes it as "long non-coding RNA (MTRU_LNC005559)". The record is from RNAcentral. Lineage: Eukaryota; Viridiplantae; Streptophyta; Magnoliopsida; Fabales; Fabaceae.
AUUUUAGUAGUUAUAUUAUUUGCAUCUUUCUUCCUACAUCCCCCUUUAUGACUGUUUCGUCUUUCGUAAUAGUUGGUUGUAUUGUAGGCUUGUAACCGUGAUCCACGCAUCAACCUCGAGUAUGUAGUCAUAAAAUUAAAAUUCUUAAAAAUAUUUUUAAAUGAUUAAAUAAUUCGUUGAAUUAAAAAAUUAUAAUUAAAACCUUAAAUUUAUUAAUAAUUUAUAAUUAGAUCUUUGAAUUUUAGUCAAAUCUCUACAUUUUUAAGUAAUUUAUAAUUAUAUUUUUAAACUUUAAUUAAUCUUGUAAAUAAGUCUCUAAACUUUUUUGACAGAAGGUUAGAUUAUAAAUCAUUAAAAAGCUCAUAGUCCAAGUAAUAAACUAUUCAUUUUCCGUUUCUAAAUAAAUGUCGCAACUUUGCAAUGUGAAGUUUUCACAUAACUUAUUUUGAUAAUAUUUUUUAACUAAUAUAUAAAUACAAAUGUUAACAUGUAAGACGUAAAAUUGUUCAAUUUCUUGCAAUAAGUAUUAUCAAAAUAUCAAUUUUUUAUUAUUUUAUAUUAUAGAUGCUUAAAGAAAUUAAUAAUUAAAGUUGUGUUAUGACAUAUGUGUGCAGUUGUUGACCGCAACAUGUAUUUAUGAACAAAGUGAGUUUUUUAUUUUUGAGGGAAAAAACAAAGUGAUUUUUUAAAGUUCAUAGAUUUGAUUUAAUUUAAAGAUUUAAUGAAGCACUAUUAAAAGAACCAAAAAGAAAAUAGAAAAAUUAGUUGAAAAAUAUAUUUAAAUAAUCAUAAAUAGAACAUUGACCGACUUGUAACUAAACAUAAAUGUUAUGUAACUUUUUUAUAUGUAAUAAUUUAAAAUUUUAUUUAAUUUAAAUCAGAUUUAUCUAAAAAGUAUGGAUAUUCAACAAAUAUUCACAACUAUAAAAAAAAUAAAAAUGAAGGGACUACUAUCAAAGAAUAUCAAAAAACUUAAUUACAGCAUCAUCACCAGUACCAUUGAAAAGUACAUGAAAGCAAUAUGACAGCAAGUGGUCCAACAUGGUCCUCACUGCCUCAAGGCACCAACCAUAAAACUGUUUUUUUUUUUCUUACUAUCUAUUUUGAUUUUUUCUUUCUAACAACUUUUUUUAUUUUUUAUUUCUCAUAAACUAUUUCUAUCGUGGGUAAUAUAUUCAAUGCGUAAGGAACUAAAUAUAGAUAUCGUGUAAAAAAAUGUUAAUAUCUUUUAAAGUUAAAAUGAAAUAUAUUAAUUGAACUUCCUAAUUGAUUCUCGCAGAAGAAGUGUUAGAAAAAGACCGAAAAGAAAGAUAAACUAGCUACAUCAACAAUACAAAAUAUUUUAAAAGAAGAAGAGCAAAAUACAAGCUCAUUGAAAAGGUAACACAACCAAAAAGAGCCAACAAGUAAGUUCACUAUUUUAUUGAAAAACUCGAGCAUUCAACCAAAUCAAAUGAAGAACAAAAUGAAUAUUUUUGAGUAGCCACCAAGUGAUCCAAAUUGAAGUAAGUGAUAUGUGAUGUAUGUCGGAUGAACCUAACAAAACCUAGCCAAUUAUAAAUAUCAAACCAAAGUUUUGUGAAGAAGUCACAGGAAAAAAAGAGAUGACUGAUGUUCUUCUGGAGGUCACAACUGCUCGCACAUAAUUCUGCUUUUGGCCGAAGCACUCGUCUCCUGAUUAAAUUAUUUGUUGGUGGUAUCCGAUUGUGCAACAGAUGCCAAGCAAAAAGGUUGGCUUUGAGAGGAACCUCUUUAUGCCAAAAGAUAUGUAAAUGAUCACCAUUUUUAGGUUGAUCCAUCGAAAGAAGGUAAUUAUAAACACUUGAAACAUUGUAUUUUUUUAUACAUGAAGUGGCAAAAUGCACAUGUCUCUCACUUCAGCCUGCAAAACAAUUGGAAGUAAUAAUUUGCAACACUCCCGGACUUGCUCUUCUUCCCAAGCCAACAACUUCUGCCUCCAUUUCCGAGUCUCACCACCCUCCCCCAACCUAAAGAGAACAUGUCAUACACUAGACGCCAUUUUGUAGUCAGCUAGAUCAAAAAGACGACUAUAUCUAAACUUCAAAACCCCUACUUUUAACCAAAGAUCCCACCAAAAUAAAGUAUCUUUACCAUCUGCCACCUCUCAGCAUAAAUUAUCUUCAAACAAACUUCCGACCCCCACUCACCCCAUCUCUGAUGUUAAUCAAAUUCUUCCACCAAACGACUAUAUAGGUAUCUCUUUCAAUCUUGUUGUGUUUCAAUUGAUGAGAGAUUUUUUUUGUUGCCCAUGUUUUCUCUAGAAUAUUAAAAGUAUCAGGUUUAUUCCACUUACUCUUGACAUUUUAAAAAUAAUUAUUUUAAAAUUUGAACAUUUUUAUUUGUGAUACGGGCUUAUAAAUAUUAUUAUGUCAAUAAAACAUGGGCUAAAAAUUAUUUACAAAUGUUUAUAUUUGAAAUUGAGUGAUUAUGACCGUUUUAUAAUGAGUGAAAACUAUAAACACACCGUACUUGGCACGGAUCACUCACUAAUGUAUAUUACAAAAAAUGGCAUAAGAAUUUUGCCAUAUAAUAAAGAAUGAUAUUGAAAACACUAAUAUAGAUCUCAUAUCAUAUUUGAGAGGUCAUGUAUAUGUUACCUGUCCUUAGCAUUUGAAAGAGCAUGAUGCUUCAAAACUAGUGGUUACUGGUUAUCUUCCCAUCCAUGUGGAAAACCUAUUCAAUACGUAUACUGAGCAAAUUAGGUAUAAGAAAUAUUUCCAAAAACAAUCGUAAAUGAGAUUUUUUUUUUGUUUCAUUUCCUUUUCAUAUGUCACUUCAAUUGCAAAUCAUCGAUCAUCUGACGUUGAACACCUCAAUCUUGUUAGAGAUUGACAAAGAUACGUGGAAU